Molecule: long non-coding RNA, 3374 nt
Organism: Brienomyrus brachyistius
Lineage: Eukaryota; Metazoa; Chordata; Actinopteri; Osteoglossiformes; Mormyridae
Exons: 5
Source: RefSeq, a predicted model, not a curated record
GCGACACUUAGAAUUACCCGCAUUGACCCUCUUAUAUAUUCGGGAUAUGAUUACAUGGAACAUCAUGUUCAAUGGACGGCAAAUGGGAACCUUUUAAGGUAUUGAGAUGAAUGAUUUCUGCUACAUGAACCCAUCGCUGGGGAACCACGCUUAAACGCUUCCUGAGUAUCUACUAAUCACGUUCAUAUCACCGUUAUUGUAAAACGCAUGUUUCGUAAGUUUGAUUUAAAACAUUCCCCAGUCGAAGGACGUUGUUCUCAGCAAGCUACAGGAACAUGUUGCAGAUGUGAUCCCGGGACGAGAAAGUGAAACCGACUGCGCUCAGUGACGGAAGUCAAAGAAGUCGCUGGAACAGCGACUCCUGGGCACAAACUGCGAAAACCUGGAUUUUUUUAAAAAUUCUCAGAACUGUCCAAAAAAUAAUAAUAAAAAAAAAAUCGAGAAAAGACGGUUUUGUAACAAAUCCUUACAACAAUUCAUACAUUAAUGGACAUCGCUCUAACCAGUGGGCGUGGGAAUGGGAGUUUCUGGUUCAGUCAAUUAGGAAACAUGACUUGAAAAUGACAAAUGGUAAGUAUGCCGAAUAAAUGGGUUACAGCGAGGAAGUUAAAAAUAGUGACGUACCUUUACCGACGCACCUCGUGAAGAUAUUUAUUGAAAACGAUUUAAAAAAUGUGAAUAGAGAAUUUAAAUCAUGGAUAAUGUUGUUAUAGACCUACCGUGGUGGGUUUGCGCUUCCAUUGAUCGCGGGAGUUAAGCCGGUGUAGCGCAGGUUGGCGUGCGGAGUCUAUAAUGGCACUGCAGAAAUGGCUAUAUAUAUACAUCAUAGGGGGAUUCCCGGAUUUUCCUAAUGGAUUUCCUUGCAGUCAUAAGGAAACUUAAGAGAAUUUACAAGAAAUGCGGCCUCAUUUGGAAACCAAAGGUACACAUACGCAAUGAGCGAGACGGCGUUAUGGAAAGAUACUGUUGAUUGUAGUGGUGGUGGCGGCGAAGUAGGAGAUGAUGAUGCUUUCCAACAGAUUUUUUUGAGGACUUAUGUGUUGACACUUAUUCUGCGGCCUCUUGUUUAUUCCUGUGAAAAUACACAGUCAAUGAAUCCCUAUACAGAGGAUUAUAACAAUAUUAUUUAUCCCGUUCUACAAAAAGUUGAAAAUAUAAUUGCAAAUGAUUUACAGAACGUGACCUGCAAGACAAAACAAACAACUGCACAUGAGUGUGAAGAAAACAAUGAAAGAAGUUCCAUUCUUAAAAUGGUUUCUACCAUCAAACUAAACCUAAAUAAUAAGAAAGUAACCUGUUAUCUAAAGAAACUCAUUAGUCUUAUAAACAAUUCCCUUGGAUGUGACGUAAAGGAUGAAAACGGAACACAUUCUGAAUGUGCCCACCUCCCAGGACAGCGUUUGCCAAAGAGAAGAGACUGCAAAUUUUGUAGACUCUGCCGAGCGCAACGUGUCAUUAACGCGACGCGCUUAUGCUACGCCAAGCUGAAGGAGAAGAAAGGCUGAGAGCUGAGCUUGGGGCGUGUGGAUUCAAGGGCAAACCGCUCUCUUUGGCUGAUGGGGUUCCUGCUACCCAGGAGCUUUCAGACAGGAGCAAAGGAAAUGAGCUCAAGUGACAGGAUUCUGCAAAAAGCUCUGCGGGCUACAACCACUGCAUUUUGCAUUUUUGUGCGUCUAAUCAUAUUAUCCUAACCACAGACAUCAAACAUGACAUGUGCUCUGCUACCCUAUGCAGCUAACUCACCGAAACAUGACAAUAGAGAUUUCGACCUUCUAACAGCAUGGAGAGAGGUAACGAGUGCAGGUCAUGGGCAGCGAUGACUUGCAUCGGAGGUGGCCUUUGGACUGUUGUAGGUAUGACAUCUUGUGGUUGCAACCUGUAAUGUGAUCCGGGCAUAUCCAGUUAUGCCACGCUUCAGGUGGUGUGAGGCUUCAUCGGUUUUUAGGCAUCGAAGGGAAUGAGGCCUUCAGAGGAACGGCUCUUACAAGCUUCCUUCCGCAUAAAAAAAAAAAAAAGAAGAGAAAAACCUUGUUGCUUAUCCCCUGCAACCAGGUGUUUGUUUAGUUUCGUUUUUAAAUACCUGCCUGUAAAUGGACAUAACUCUUCUCCCAACUACAGUUAUGUGUAUCACGAUAUUUUAUCAUGUUUGAAACUACAUAGUCAAUUGUAUCCAGUUGUAGAAUCACUAUCAAGUAUACGAUACUUUGAUAUAAAUGUAUAUAUAAAGUAUAUGCUGAAUUCAUAUAAUGGCCUUAUCUCACAGUCAAGGUGACUGCAUCUGUGACAGUACAUUUUGUUUAGCCAGCAAAUUAACAGCUGUUUUUAUGAAGGACAUUUCGCAUGAUCUGCAUAAAUAUUAGAGGGUUAUGUGACGCCGUUUGGAACGACUCUCACUGUUUAUCCUUAGUACUUCGGGCACCCUGUGCAGCUUAUAAUGGCGCCUUUAGCUAAGCACCUUACAAACACAGUAUUGUAUCCUAAGCUAAACUAACGGGGGAUGGUGCUCUUACUUUCCUGAUUUCCCCAACGUGUGCUUCUGUAACUAUGUAACUCAGGCACAUAGAUCAGGGUGGCUGAGCAACAGAACAGGGGGACAAACAGAGUCAACUAUGGAUCUUUGGACUGGUAAUGAGGUUAGUGGUGAUGAAGAACGCCAAGGGAGAGGCAGUUCAGGUCAAUUUUGAGUUGUACUAUAAUAAGCUAAUACUUUAUUUAGUCAAGAUGAUGAAUUAGGAUCUGCAGUGACAUAUUACAAGUCUAAAGCGGAUUCCAAGGAAGGAAAAUUAUAGUAAUUUCCAGCAAAACAACAGAAUCCAACUAAAUCCAUUCCAACAAAGUGAGAGCUGGCAGGUGACUUCUCACUAAUUUACCAGAAUGGAAUAAAUGACUAAUUCAUACUUUUAUUGUAGACAGGAACAUUCUGCUGAUUAUUUCAUAAACACACCAUGUGUUCAAAUUAUCCUUUGAUGGUAUUAUAGUAAAUCGUGAUGUUUUCAUUGCUCCACUCCCUGCUUGGUGAAUUUUAUCUUCAUGAUUUCACUACACCGGAAUAACGUUGCUUUUGAAAACACUUUCAGAAACUGUGGCAUGUUUCACUGGUAGGAAAAAUUUGUAACUGCCUUAGCCUACUUCAAAUCAUACAUUAUUUCCUAUGUAGUAGUUUUCCAUGCUUCAUGUGCAGUCAAACAGGAUCAGCUUAACAAUCAUCUGUAAUUCUUUAAUCUUUUUAUCUCUGCUAAAGAAAGGUGACAGCAAAAUCUCUGAAUCUGUCAUUCAUAACAGUUAAUGGCUACUGCGUGAGGACAAAAGAACCUACUGGAACUAUCAGCUGAACUGUGCAAAACUGUAGCCAAUAAAGUUCUUACUGUGCUGAA